RNAcentral lists this long non-coding RNA (479 nucleotides) under Androctonus crassicauda. Lineage: Eukaryota; Metazoa; Arthropoda; Arachnida; Scorpiones; Buthidae. The record is from RNAcentral.
AAAGCGCUCCUGCAUCUAUAUUUUAUUCUAAGGUCCUACAAGCUAAUAAACAAUGACUACAUUGAAAAUAGAAUCAAUACGAAAACUUUGUGAAGCCUAGCCUGCAAGAGAUCAUGACUUGUGUGAUGAAUUCACAGGAUAAAAUCACUGAUAGCUGUUUUGUCAAUACACUACAAGCAGGCUAUAUGGACAAGAAGUGUUCAUUUAAGGAGAGCUUUGUUGUUGGACAUAAGAAAUUGGGGCCAAUGGUUCUCCAGGAAAUGGAAUUGCAAGAAAGUCAGGCUGGAAUUCAGAGUCUGGAGAGUUAUGACAUCUAGAAGAUGACAUGAGUAUAUUUGAAUAAAUAUAGAUUGUUGUAUAUGAAAAAAUAAGACAUCCCCUGAUAAUAAGUCCUAAUGUUUCUUUUGAAAAAUUAAUAUAAGACAUGAUCUUAUUUUCAAGGAAAUUAAUAUAAGACAUGAUCUUAUUUUCAAGGAAAU